GUGGGGAAUAUUGGACAAUGGGGGGAACCCUGAUCCAGCCAUGCCGCGUGUGUGAAGAAGGCCUUUUGGUUGUAAAGCACUUUAAGCGAGGAGGAGGCUACCGAGAUUAAUACUCUUGGAUAGUGGACGUUACUCGCAGAAUAAGCACCGGCUAACUCUGUGCCAGCAGCCGCGGUAAUACAGAGGGUGCAAGCUUUAAUCGGAUUUACUGGGCGUAAAGCGCGCGUAGGUGGCCAAUUAAGUCAAAUGUGAAAUCCCCGAGCUUAACUUGGGAAUUGCAUUCGAUACUGGUUGGCUAGAGUAUGGGAGAGGAUGGUAGAAUUCCAGGUGUAGCGGUGAAAUGCGUAGAGAUCUGGAGGAAUACCGAUGGCGAAGGCAGCCAUCUGGCCUAAUACUGACACUGAGGUGCGAAAGCAUGGGGAGCAAACAGGAUUAGAUACCCCGGUAGUCC
Molecule: ribosomal RNA, 451 nt
Filed under: uncultured bacterium
Lineage: Bacteria
Description: partial 16S ribosomal RNA
Rfam family: Bacterial small subunit ribosomal RNA
Source: RNAcentral